CCUACGGGAGGCAGCAGUGAGGAAUAUUGGUCAAUGGCCGGAAGGCUGAACCAGCCAAGCCGCGUGAAGGACGAAGGUGCCAAGCAUUGUAAACUUCUUUUGUCAAGGGACAAAAUCAGGCUCGAGAGCCUGACUGAGGGUACUUUAAGAAAAAGCAUCGGCUAACUCCGUGCCAGCAGCCGCGGUAAUCCGGAGGAUGCGAUCGUUAUCCGGGUUUAUUGGGUUUAAAGGGUGCUUCGGCGGCCUUUUAAGUCAGCGGGGAAAUUCGGUGGCUCAACCAUAGAAUUUCCGUUGAAACUGGGGGGCGGGAGGAUGUUGGAGGCAGGCGGAAUGCGUGGUGUAGCGGUGAAAUGCUUAGAUAUAACGCAGAACACCGAUUGCGAAGGCAGCCUGCCAAGCAAUGACUGACGCUGAUGCACGAAAGCGUGGGGAUCAAACAGGAUUAGAUACCCCGGUAGUC
Molecule: ribosomal RNA, 460 nt
Filed under: uncultured bacterium
Lineage: Bacteria
Description: partial 16S ribosomal RNA
Rfam family: Bacterial small subunit ribosomal RNA
Source: RNAcentral